Molecule: long non-coding RNA, 3089 nt
Organism: Cygnus olor (mute swan)
Lineage: Eukaryota; Metazoa; Chordata; Aves; Anseriformes; Anatidae
Exons: 4
Source: RefSeq, a predicted model, not a curated record
ACUCCUAGUUUAAGACUACACUGUGUGUUGCAGCUAGGUUAUAUAUUUCCCCCAGACAAGGUUAGUAGUAAGAGUUGGUUGCAGUUGUUUCCCUGUGUUAGAAAACAAAACUGAGAGCUCCGGAAGAAUCAUGUUUUCAGCAUGGUUUCCAAACAUCAGCCUAUUACUUCCCUCAUGGUUGGCUGGGUUAAACUGUGCUGCUUCAGGUGCAUCAGAGAGGAGACAAGCCAGACAGGCCUGGCCUGAGCUCUCCUAGCUGGCUGGGAACAAGUGGAAUUGGAACCAUGGACUAAGAGCAUCCAGGAAUGAAUUGGGUCAAUCUUCCCAAAGCAUUGGCAGUGGUGUCUUGUUCUCAGAAACUGCCUAGCUUCAUUAUUUAUUCAGUCGAGCUUUGCUGUUUCUGUUAGAUUGUAUGACAGAUAUGACAGCAGCAUGAAGGGUAUUUUUUUGCUGGGCUUGCUUUUCCUCUUCAGUUUCAUUUACUUCUGCUGGUAGUUUGCAAGUGUCAGUCAUCCCUAGGCUGCGUUUGCUGUUCAGGUAUGUUCUGCUAUUUACUACUGCUCUGUAUUUCAAUAAUACAAAUAUAUGUUGUGCACACAGAUGAGAAAUGUUAAUGCAAAGGGAUCAACAGCACUUGUUGUUAUGGGAAGUAUCAGAGUAUUAUAAACAAUGCCUAAAAAUGUACUAUAAAAUAUGAUUAUAUGGUAUUUCAGGUGGAAUAGGAAUAAUAUGAAGACACAAAAGAAUACUGGAAGCUCAUCCUGUCCAAGAAUCCGUCUCUGGAAGUGCUUAAUAAUCAGGCCAGAUUAAAACAGAUACUUAAACUGAUAAUAGCAAAUGCAAAGUGAGAAAAUACUGCCAGUCUGACUUUAUCAUCUGUUUUGUUCUUUGCUUUGUGCUACCUUUGCACUCAUUUAAAUAGUCAUACAGUCUGCACCAUCAUGCUGAUUCUGACCAUAUGAGUGAUGAGCAUAGCUCUUAUUUUUUGAUGCAACUGCCAGGUUAGAAUUGGAAGUGACAUUCAAUGACAUUCCAUCUCUGUCACAUCAUCUGGUCAUCUUCUUGGCAAGGCACGUGAAGUAUAGCUUCUCCAUAGUAACUUAUGCUGCCUAUUUGUCAUGAAAAAGGGUAACAAUUAUGAGCACCUUCCUAGAAUCUCAGCAGGAGAAAUCUUGAGCCUGCAGCAAAUUUUCCUUGAAGACAUAGACGUAAUGGUAACCAGCUAUAUUGUGCCAUCGAUAAAGUGACUAGUCACACUUUACCUUCAGCAUAUUAUAUGGUGGUUGUGAAAAGAAUAAGAAAGCUUUUGUAAGUGUAUUAGCAACUAAACCUACAAAAUCACAAGAGAGCUUAGAUAGCUCCACACAGGCACUUUAUGGUGUAUUGAGUACAUGCUUAGAAGUUGGUGAAAUUGCACUGAGGGUUGAUUUUGGCUUGGCAUUUCUAUGUUGAAAGAAAUGACGAGUGUGCUCACUGCCUUAUGCUCCCAGUGAAUUCUGAGCUUCAUAAGGUUAAUGUUAGUCAGUUAAACUUUGAAAUUCUUCUUAAGAUAUGAGAUUAUUUCAGACCAAUAGAGUGCUUUGCAAGUGUGCGUGCUACAGAUUAUUACUGUGCUUUAAACUUUGUGAAGGUAGGAAACUGUCAGGAGAGAGUUGUAUAUCUAUUCAGUUCACUCCAUCAAAUAUAGUACUUAAAAAUUUCAAGAUUAGCAAUCUUCAUCUACAAACUGUUGAAGGACAGUAAAGUUUAUACAGAACUCAUUUCUAGUGUGUGUGACAGCAUCAAUGGAUUUGUCACUCACAGCAGUAGUUUCUUCCUGAAAAGUUUUGACAGAAAUGUGAAGCAUUUAACUAUUUCAAUGUUAGCAUUAAGAAGUCUACUCACAACUUGGUACUUUUCAGUGUAUUCUGAGUAUGGAUGAAAACAUCUAUAGUAAGUUUCAAGGGUACUUGUGCACUGUGAAUCCGAAAGACAACAGUGAGGUUCUGAGGACCUGUUGGAGAUUGUGGUAGAGAACGGAGCAUUGUAGGUCAAACUCUGCAUUCAGAUGUACGCGUAUUGUUGCCACUGAAGUUACUGGAGAUUCCUGUUACAAUGGUCUUUUACUCCAGAAUUUGCUGAGGUAAAUUGGAGAGGCAAUUCAACCCGGUCCAUUUCUCUUCUUUGACGUUAUGUAUAUGCAUCCUUUUCAAGUAAAACCUGACUGACAGUUGUAUGUCAUCAUUGUUACAGUAGGGCUAUUCACUUAUAUACAUACAAUUACCUAGAAAUCUUAAAAUAAGUCAGAAUAUGGAUGAAUUAUAAUCUUCAUGUGCCUGUUUCCUUCUUUCUUUUUUAACCCCUUAUGGCUUACUGAAGUAAAAUGGUGAAUUGGGUAGCCCCAAUGAUUUUGCCCAGCAGACUGCUGUGUUGCUUGAUCUGCAAUAACAAGCUAUAUAGAACUAGAUUGUGUAGCUAUACACAUUUUAAUACAUAGGCUGAUUAAAACUAAAUAAUAGAGAUGUCACUGAGAGAGACAUUCCCUCACUGAAGAACAGCAAGUAAUGCUCAAAGGGUAAGAUAAUUUUAUUUUAGUUAUACUAUAUUGAAAAACUGUGUUGAGAGAGGUGGUUCCCCAGUAUGAGUAACGUUUACAUAGCUGUAGAAAUGAAGUGGAGUAGGGUGGGGGUGGAAAUCAUCUCCAAAUGCACCUUUCAUUAUCAGCAGGGGGGUGGCUGUGUUCUCUUCCAUGCAGCAGGAGAAUAGAAAUGUCUAAUAUGAAAGAUACUGUCUAAACUGUCACCUGAUGCCCUAAGUACGGAAGACGGUGGAUUUUUCUGACUUAAGUUCUCUUGUAAAUCCUGGCAUAUUAAAAUGGAAGAGAAGAUGCAUAUUGAGUUGGUUGCUCCUGGAAUCAGCAGGGCACAGAUAAAUUACUAGGCUCUGAUCAGUGCUUGUUUGGAGAACUCUGUGGCAAUCUAACAUCCACUGCCCCUUUUGAAUACUUAACACACUGUGACCUUGUCCAAAGAUGAUUUAGAGUCUCGGGUUCAUCUGUAAGAGAAAGGAAUUUAAAUUACAUUUCUUGGACUGUUCUACUGUAUGCUUAA